Molecule: unclassified non-coding RNA, 466 nt
Filed under: Hevea brasiliensis (rubber tree)
Lineage: Eukaryota; Viridiplantae; Streptophyta; Magnoliopsida; Malpighiales; Euphorbiaceae
Source: RNAcentral
AAGUGUUGAACCUUUCCCACAACAGUUUGACAGGACCUAUUCCAUCAACAUUCUCAAAACUGAGUGAAAUUCGCAGCUUGGAUCUUUCCUACAAUCACUUGGAUGGGAAAAUUCCUCCGGAGCUUACUCAACUUUCUUUACUUGCCUUCAGUGUCGCUCAUAACAAUUUAUCUGGACCAACACCUGCAAAUUUUUUGACUUUUGAUGAGAGUAGUUACGAAGGAAAUCCUUUGCUUUGUGGACCACCACUACCUAAGAGUUGCGAUGCGACGACAAUAUCAACUGAUGUUAGAGAGGAGAGUGGCUUCAUAGACAAAGGUGUUUUCUAUGUGAGCUUUCUGGUGACUUACAUCAUGGUAUUGCUGGCAAUUGUUGCAGUAUUUUACAUAAACCCAUAUUGGCGACGAGCAUGGUUUACCUUCAUUGAGGUGAAAAUCAUCGAUUGCCAAUAUUUUCUGGAAGACAA